Molecule: transfer RNA, 69 nt
Filed under: Pachydactylus affinis
Lineage: Eukaryota; Metazoa; Chordata; Lepidosauria; Squamata; Gekkonidae
Description: tRNA-Ala
Source: RNAcentral
AAGACCUGCAGGACUUUAACCCACAUCUAUUAACUGCAACCAAAACGCUUUCAUUAAACUAAGGCCUUA